CGAGGGGUAUAGUUCUUCGGAAUUAGAGACCGGCGCACGGGUGCGUAACGCGUAUGCAAUCUACCUUUCACAGAGGGAUAGCCCAGAGAAAUUUGGAUUAAUACCUCAUAGUAUAGCAGUUUCGCAUGAAACCACUAUUAAAGAUUUAUCGGUGAAAGAUGAGCAUGCGUCCCAUUAGUUAGUUGGUAAGGUAACGGCUUACCAAGACAACGAUGGGUAGGGGUCCUGAGAGGGAGAUCCCCCACACUGGUACUGAGACACGGACCAGACUCCUACGGGAGGCAGCAGUGAGGAAUAUUGGACAAUGGGCGCAAGCCUGAUCCAGCCAUGCCGCGUGCAGGAUGACGGUCCUAUGGAUUGUAAACUGCUUUUAUACGAGAAGAAACACUCCGACGUGUCGGAGCUUGACGGUAUCGUAAGAAUAAGGAUCGGCUAACUCCGUGCCAGCAGCCGCGGUAAUACGGAGGAUCCAAGCGUUAUCCGGAAUCAUUGGGUUUAAAGGGUCCGUAGGCGGUCAGGUAAGUCAGUGGUGAAAGCCCAUCGCUCAACGGUGGAACGGCCAUUGAUACUGUCUGACUUGAAUUAUUAGGAAGUAACUAGAAUAUGUAGUGUAGCGGUGA
This 620-nucleotide ribosomal RNA is filed under the name Flavobacterium sp. SOK29. RNAcentral's name for it is "bacterial SSU rRNA". It matches the Rfam family "Bacterial small subunit ribosomal RNA", at positions 63 to 684 of the family's 1533-position model. Lineage: Bacteria; Pseudomonadati; Bacteroidota; Flavobacteriia; Flavobacteriales; Flavobacteriaceae. The record is from RNAcentral.